GUUUUAAGUUUUCCAAGAAACCCGUCCAUCACAAUUGGAAAAUUCUCAAGACUAUGACAAUAUGAAAGGUCAAAUGUCUCCAGUAAAUCCAACUUGAGAGGUGGAAUACUCCUGAGAUUCCGACAACUAUUUAUUAACAUUCAGGGUUUUAAGUUUUCCAAAAAACCCGUCCACCACAAUUGGAAAACUCUCAAGACCGUGACAAUGUGAAAAGUCAAGAGUUUCUAGUGAAUCCAACUUGAGAGGUGGAAUACUCCUGAGAUUGCGACAACUACUAACAUUCAGGGUUUUAAGUUUUCCAAAAAACCCGUCCUCCACAAUUGGAAAUCUCUCAAGACUAUGACAA
This 346-nucleotide long non-coding RNA is filed under the name Medicago truncatula (barrel medic). RNAcentral describes it as "long non-coding RNA (MTRU_LNC004457)". Lineage: Eukaryota; Viridiplantae; Streptophyta; Magnoliopsida; Fabales; Fabaceae. The record is from RNAcentral.